This 253-nucleotide ribosomal RNA is filed under the name uncultured bacterium. Its description in RNAcentral is "partial 16S ribosomal RNA". It matches the Rfam family "Bacterial small subunit ribosomal RNA", at positions 524 to 776 of the family's 1533-position model. The record is from RNAcentral.
GACGUAGGGCGCGAGCGUUGUCCGGAUUUAUUGGGCGUAAAGAGCUCGUAGGCGGCUCAUUGCGUCAACCGUGAAAACCAGCAGCUCAACUGUUGGCUUGCGGUUGAUACGGGUGGGCUGGAGUUCGGUAGGGGAGACUGGAAUUCCUGGUGUAGCGGUGAAAUGCGCAGAUAUCAGGAGGAACACCGGUGGCGAAGGCGGGUCUCUGGGCCGAAACUGACGCUGAGGAGCGAAAGCGUGGGGAGCGAACAGG